ACCAAUGUUAAAAGCGGAGCCAUUAACAGCUCAACAAGGUGGGCUACUUGAAAUGGAUCAUAUUCAUAACAAAAAUGUCGGAAUCUUUCCGAAAUAUUAACACUUCAUGCCAUACUAGUACAGAGAGGUGACUAAAGGUAAGGAGACAUGAUUAUUAUAACAACUCGACUUCAAAUAACCUUUUUUGUUUCUUUUAUUUUUCUCAACAAAAAUUAUAACAAAAGUCCAAAACAGAAUGUAUACGUAUUUCAUUGUUUUCAUUGACAGCAAACAACAAAACAAUAAGACUCAGGGUAAAAACACCCAUAUGUUUGCUGACUGCAGAUAUUAUAUAAUGAUAAUUUGUAGAUGAUUUUUCAUCACAGUGUGGACCUUGUCAAAAUACAAAUUAUGAUAGUGUACAAUAAGCAGUACUCAAUUGGAACUCUGUCAUCUAAUAUCAUUACAUGAAACACAUACCGUUUAAUUAAAGUCACUUCUCGUGAAGGACCUCGCAUUUGCACAACUUACACAAA
Molecule: long non-coding RNA, 515 nt
Organism: Asterias rubens (European starfish)
Lineage: Eukaryota; Metazoa; Echinodermata; Asteroidea; Forcipulatida; Asteriidae
Exons: 2
Source: RefSeq, a predicted model, not a curated record